UUUGAGGGAACUGGAAAAGAGAAAGCAAAGCCAGGGAGAGGAAGUGGGCAGAGGGAGGGGCCAAUUAAAACUUGAAUAAAUUCCACCGGAAGUUAGCUACGUCUUUAAAAUGAAACAUAAUUACCAGGCCACAGCACUGUGCUCAGUACAGCGACCAGGCUGAAUUGGAGCCCCAUCCUCUGGAGAAACUCCUGUGGUGGGCCUUGCCGGGCUCACUCGGUCUUGAGCACACACUGACAGGAAUUAGUGAACACAAGAAAUCUCACAGUGGGCUAUUCGUUCAAGACAAGUCUCCUUUCCAGAGGGCGCCUCAGAAAGCAACAUCUGGUCUUGACCUUGAAUGCGGAGGGGCUCACACAGAGAGAGCCAGCUGAGCCUCCAGUCCGAGCAAAGUAUGGCUGUGGGGCCAAAGCCUGUAUGCCCAGCCAACCAUAGGCAGCGAGAGAAGCCUGGGAGACUGCGCACCGAGGAAGCAGUUGACGUAAAGAGUUAAGGUGGCAGAUGUCUCUCCCAGAGCCGGGACAGAUCUCUAAGGCACCGCAAGGACUCCUGGAGGCAAAGGCAUGCAGGAAACCCUGCUCCAGCCGGAGAUCAGAGUCCCACUCAUUUAGUCUCAGAAACACCCGUCAUGAGGUGAGCAUGUGUGUGGAGAGACCGAGGCAGCACAACAACGAAGACAUAACGUGCCCGGUCACAGGGUGAAGUAAACACUCAGGGUAGACGGUGUCUGGCCAGUGACCUGUCCUGCUCUGCCCAUGGCCUUCCAUCUUCUCUGCUGGGCUGACUGAGGAGAGGCAUGGAGCCCUGGACACUCAGUAGUCAGGAAUGCCUUAUCCAGAAGCACACAGGAACGAGCAGACCAGAAUCUGUCAACCAUUGGAGUCCAUUUUUAUCCUCUUUUGGGUAUCUAUGUAAACACUGAUGUCAUCUACAAGCAAGGCUAAUUUUAUAACUUUUCCAUAUUUAUAACAACGUUCAUUUUCCAGCUUUAUCCCACCAGCCAGAACCUACCCAUGAUUCUCCUGUGUUGUCUGCUGUUCAUUUUCAGAAGACAGAAUAGCUUUUUUUUUUUUUUUAGAUUUUUCGAGACAGGUUUUUUUUUUUGUUGUUGUUGUUUUGUUUUGUU
This is a long non-coding RNA of Mastomys coucha (southern multimammate mouse), 1126 nucleotides long. RefSeq lists it as uncharacterized. NCBI's taxonomy places the organism in Eukaryota, Metazoa, Chordata, Mammalia, Rodentia, Muridae. The record is from RefSeq and is a predicted model, not a curated record. The transcript has 4 exons.